AAACCCUAGAAGGCCAGGCCAAACAGAUAGGUCUUAAGGGCUCUCCUUAAGGCCAAUAAUGAACUCAGAUUUUGGAUUUCUGCAGGGAGUGCAUUCUACAGCCCAGGAACAGUGCUGUUGGUGGUAACUGAAGACAGUCCUCCUCAGAUGACCUUAACGUGCAGUAGGGUCCGUGCAGAAGAAGGAGCUCUCGAAGAUAACUCGGACCUAAGGCAUUCAGGGCUUUAAAGCAUGGUGUCUGGCCCUGGGAUUCUGGUGAUGCCAUUUCGGAGAUGUAACUGGCCCAUCCCUUCAGUGAUUGAUUGCACUGACUGCAAAGAAGUAUUGAAAACGGCCUCUGAGAAGAAUGGGAUUCAUCAACUCACUGUGCGAAAUUCCUUGUGCCAGAGUUCUGCAUAGUGUUACAGACACCUGUCUCAAUCCACUUAGGAUGGCCUUUGUCUGAUGGAGAAUAAAUAGGUUAUUUGCUGCAGUGCUUUUGCUGACAGUAACAGAUAUGGACAACAGCAUCCUUUAUGAGAGUCCUCUGAUUGUGCAAGACCCGACUGAUGAAGAUGAGUUGAAACUUCCUUUAAAGAAACUAGGAAAUUAUCUCGUACAUCCAUUUGAUGACAACAUGGCAACUAUAUAAUUUCACAUCAUGAAGAUAUUUAUUUAUGUAUUUAUUUACUGCUCUUUCUCCACGAAGCCCAGAGCUGUGUACAUGGUUAUCUUUCCCCUCACAACAAACCUGUGAGGUAGGUUAGAUUGAGAGAUGUGUGACUGGCCCAGAGUCACCCAGUGAGUUUCAUGGCUGAACGGGGAUUUGAACUCAGGUCAUCCCAUGAUGGAUCCUGUCCUUACCCCAGGAUUUCAGAAAACACUGAUUACAGGGUUGUAAGUUCAUCCCAGACUGUCUACUAGAUCAGCAGAUAUUUUGUUUGUACAUGUACUAAUAGUAUAAGCAAUUAGCUUCUAGGUCAUUGCUUUUAAUUUUUGAUUGCUGUUAUAUCUGUGUUGAUUUUUUGUCAUAAUUUAUUGUUGUUUCUCUUAUCAUGAGCCGCUUCAAGCAGCAUGCCAGAAAGGUGGGGUAGAAUUUUUAAAAAAUCAUUUUAAAAUACCUGAUUAAUUUGGAGUCUGUUUUAUCUAACAAAAAGAUUUAACUAAUUGAACUAAAGAAUUAAUUCAAUUCAAGCAAAAACACUUUGGUUUACAGGGAUAGUUAUGGGUGUGGCAGCUCCAUAUUAAUUGCAGAAAGCGAGGGAAAUCAAUGGCCCAUGAUGUUCACACCAUGGCAGCAUGAGAUCUGAUAUCUAGUCCGAGAUAUUGUACUGGCCUACCAAAUCAUAACCAUAGAAACCCAAUUUGGCUAGAUCCUCUAUGCUCCAAUCCAGUUAUUGUGUGAGCCUGCA
Hemicordylus capensis (graceful crag lizard) is the source of this 1391-nucleotide long non-coding RNA. RefSeq lists it as uncharacterized. The transcript has 4 exons. The record is from RefSeq and is a predicted model, not a curated record. NCBI's taxonomy places the organism in Eukaryota, Metazoa, Chordata, Lepidosauria, Squamata, Cordylidae.